AAUGCCACAGACGGUCAGGAUUACAAUCUGCCUAUUCUGAUUCUUCUACUAUGGGAAAAAAUCUUUUCCAGAAUUGAUGUAAAGCCUCUGUUAGUACUUUUCCUGUUAACAACCUAACUAUUCAACUGCUGAAUAAAAACCAUUAGGACAACUAAAGUAACAGAAACUGAGAGAUUUUAGCAAGAAAUAGUCAUUCCAAUAUCAAUGACUAUGGAGGAAAUGCAAUUACUUUUCUUUGCUUAAGUUGUCCUGGUUUGUGUUCUUAAUUAUGAGCCAUAGCAUUUAUAAUAACCCGAGAAUGUACCAUUUUUAUACAAGAAUUAAAUAAUAGCCCAAAUUAAGUAUUUGGCUCUUAGGAAUUUGGGAACUUUUGCAAAAUGAUAACAUCUUUCAUAAAAAAUAAAUGUUGUAAAACUAAAUUUUGUAAAAUUAAUGUUGUAAAAAUAAAUUUAGCUUUCUGAAA
RNAcentral lists this long non-coding RNA (463 nucleotides) under Pongo abelii (Sumatran orangutan). RNAcentral describes it as "lincRNA". The record is from RNAcentral. Lineage: Eukaryota; Metazoa; Chordata; Mammalia; Primates; Hominidae.